RNAcentral lists this long non-coding RNA (662 nucleotides) under Apteryx haastii (Great spotted kiwi). Its description in RNAcentral is "lncRNA (ENSAHAG00000004618.1)". The record is from RNAcentral. Lineage: Eukaryota; Metazoa; Chordata; Aves; Apterygiformes; Apterygidae.
CCGAGCCGGGCACGGCGGCGGGCGGGGAGGAGCGGGUGAGCCCGCCCCGAGGGGUCCGGGGGACGCCGGGGGCCGGGCGGGCUGCGAGGGCGGGGGGCGGACGGGACGGGACCGUGUCUCUUCCCCGCACCGCCGGGCCGGCGACACGGAGGCUCCCGGCUCGCUGCCGCCCCGCCAUGGCUCCCAGCUCCGAGCGGCUCUUCGACUCCCUGGGACACUUCGGCAGGGUCUUGGGAUGUGCAUGAACAACCAUAAGAAGCAGUUCCUGCCAGACCCUGCCCAUGGGCUCUUGCUUCCUGCGCCCCCUUUCUGCCCAACCACUCCAAUUGCAAUGACUCACUCAUAUGCGUAUCAGGUAAAGAGCAGGCAUGUGGUCAGCCACCUGCUGCCAUGGACAGCCAGCAUACUAGGAAAGGGGAAAAAUGACUGGCGGGCUUAAGGUCAGCAGCAGAGCUCACCUGUGUCCUGGCAGAUCUGUAUGCCAGCGGAGGCAGCGUGUGCUAUUUGGCCUGCACCAUGUGCACAUCUCCUGUACCUGCUGGCUUUUGGCUGCCCAGCCAGCAUGUGCAACUAUUCAGGUUGGGAAGCACACCUUAGGACCUGGCUGGCUGGCUCACACUGCCUUACAUCUAGUUCCCAGACUGUACGUUUCGCAGCUCUGA